Molecule: unclassified non-coding RNA, 341 nt
Filed under: soil metagenome
Description: partial contains 5.8S ribosomal RNA, internal transcribed spacer 2, and large subunit ribosomal RNA
Rfam family: 5.8S ribosomal RNA (bases 1-120)
Source: RNAcentral
GAUGAAGAACGUAGCGAAAUGCGAUAAGUAGUGUGAAUUGCAGAAUUCCGUGAAUCAUCGAGUCUUUGAACGCACAUUGCGCCCCCUGGUAUUCCGGGGGGCAUGCCUGUCCGAGCGUCAUUGCUGCCCUCAAGCACGGCUUGUGUGUUGGGCUCCGUCCCCCCGGGGACGGGUCCGAAAGGCAGCGGCGGCACCGAGUCCGGUCCUCGAGCGUAUGGGGCUUUGUCACCCGCUCUGUAGGCCCGGCCGGCGCCAGCCGACAACCAAUCAUCCUUUUUUCAGGUUGACCUCGGAUCAGGUAGGGAUACCCGCUGAACUUAAGCAUAUCAAUAAGCGGAGGA